AACUGGGCCAGCCAAGUGCCCCACAUCUUACAUUUUAAAUAAGAGAUGGUAAAAUGUUCAAUCUCAUCAAUAAUCAAAGAUAUGCAAAGUUAGCAAUGUGGUUAUUGCCAUAUUACGAAAAUAUUAACAAAUAUUGAAAAGAUUGGUAAUAUCCAGUAUUGUUAAGAGUGUGAGAAAGCAGGUCCUCUAUGGCACCUUCUUGAGAACAACGGGUAGUGUUGAUUGAAAUGUGAAACGUACAUUUGUCUUAGCAGUUUCACAUCUAGAAAUGGAUCUAUCAGAGAUGUUAGUACAAGUAUAAAAAGACAUGGGGUGUGUGUGUGUGUGUGUGUGUGUGUGUGUGUGUGUGUGUGUCUGCAUUGCUGGGAUUGAUGAAAAACUGGAGAGACCACUUAAAAUGUCAUCAAGGGAGGGCUGGUUCUGGGCACCUGGCUGGCUCAGUCAGUGGAGCAUGGGACUCUUGAUCUUGGGGUUGUGAAUUCAAGCCCCCAUGUUAAGUCUAGAGAUUACUUUAAAAAGAUCUUUUAAAAACGAAAGAGGGCUGGUUAAAUACUUUGCACUUACUGUACUGUGCAGCUGGGGAGAGUUGUGGAAGACUUCCUAGAAGCCUGUUUAAGUUGUGAACUAAAAACUUAAUAGGGUACACCUGACUGGCUCCGUUGGUAGAGUGUGUGAGUCUUGACUUCAGGGUUGUAAGUUCAGGCCUCAUGUUGGGUGUAGAGAUUACUUACAAAUAUCUUAAAAAAAAAAAA
Molecule: long non-coding RNA, 752 nt
Organism: Herpailurus yagouaroundi (jaguarundi)
Lineage: Eukaryota; Metazoa; Chordata; Mammalia; Carnivora; Felidae
Exons: 2
Source: RefSeq, a predicted model, not a curated record